AACGAACGCCGGCGGCAGGCUUAACACAUGCAAGUCGAACGGGUGUAGCAAUACAUCAGUGGCAGACGGGUGAGUAACACGUGGGAACCUUCCUAGGGGUACGGAACAACUCAGGGAAACUUGAGCUAAUACCGUAUACGUCCGUGAGGAGAAAGAUUUAUCGCCCUUAGACGGGCCCGCGUCGGAUUAGGUAGUUGGUGGGGUAACGGCCUACCAAGCCUACGAUCCGUAGCUGAUCUUAGAGGAUGAUCAGCCACACUGGGACUGAGACACGGCCCAGACUCCUACGGGAGGCAGCAGUGGGGAAUCUUGGACAAUGGGCGCAAGCCUGAUCCAGCCAUGCCGCGUGCAGGAUGAAGGCCCUCGGGUUGUAAACUGCUUUUGUACGGAACGAAACGCGCUGAGUUAAUACCUCGGCGUAAUGACGGUACCGUAAGAAUAAGCACCGGCUAA
Molecule: ribosomal RNA, 453 nt
Filed under: uncultured bacterium
Lineage: Bacteria
Description: partial 16S ribosomal RNA
Rfam family: Bacterial small subunit ribosomal RNA
Source: RNAcentral